Molecule: ribosomal RNA, 357 nt
Filed under: Triticum aestivum (bread wheat)
Lineage: Eukaryota; Viridiplantae; Streptophyta; Magnoliopsida; Poales; Poaceae
Description: partial small subunit ribosomal RNA
Source: RNAcentral
AUGACGAGGCUUACGCGCGAGUGCUUCAGUACGCCAAGGAGCGCGAGGGCGGGCAGUGAGCAUGUCGAGGAUCAAAUAAAUGACGUGCAGGAUUCAUGGCAAGAGGUUGAUCCAGAUGAGUACUCAUAUGAGGAAUUAGUUGCAUUGGGCGGAGUGGUUGGUACAGAAAGAAGAGGUCUCUCUGCUGAUACACUUGCUUCCUUACCUUCAGUAACUUACAACACAAAAGACAUGCAAGACGGCAACACAGAACAAUGUGUAAUUUGUCGCGUGGGAUUUGAGGAAGGUGAAUCCUUGGUUGCACUUCCCUGCAAGCACUCAUACCACCCUGACUGCAUUAACCAGUCACAUAAAUAA